Molecule: unclassified non-coding RNA, 141 nt
Organism: Macaca mulatta (Rhesus monkey)
Lineage: Eukaryota; Metazoa; Chordata; Mammalia; Primates; Cercopithecidae
Rfam family: Metazoan signal recognition particle RNA
About the family: The signal recognition particle (SRP) is a universally conserved ribonucleoprotein. It is involved in the co-translational targeting of proteins to membranes.
Source: Ensembl
GCUGGGCGUGGUGGCGGGCGCCUGUAAUCUCAGCUACUCAGGAGGCUGAGGCAGGAGAAUCGCUUGAACCCAGGAGGCGGAGGUUGCCGUGAUAGCGCCACUGCACUCCAACCUGGGUAACAGAGCGAGACUCUGUCUUAA